UCUUAGGCUUGCUGGGUGAGAAAGUGCCGCGCGGCAUUCUGGGAGUUGUAGUUUCGCGGUGGGGGCGUGCCGCAGGGCAUGCCGGGAGCUGUAGUUCCGUGCCUGGCGAGGCGCCAUUUCCCGCCGCAGCCGGUCCGGCGAAGCUUGCGGCGCCCUCGGGGCUAGGCCGUGGCGCGCGCGGGGAAGCCGGGAGGGUGGCGGGCCUCUCUGCCGCCCCUCACCGCAGCUGGGGCCGGCGGCGGAACGCCGCCCUCGCAGGCCGUUUCUCUGAGCUAGGGGUGAGGCGAGGGCCUCGAGGCUGUGUGGGGAAGGCACCAGGACCAGAGUCCUGUCGCACUCAGCAGGUGUUGGAGCCACCAUCGAACCAGCGGAGCCUGACCAUAAAGGAAUUCUUUUGUGUCAGUAUUUCAGUUUUGCACGAAAGACUAAUCCUGUAUGUAUUUGGCACAGUGUUGAAAGAACUUUUUCCUGGCUUUAUGAUUUUGUUAAACCCAUUAACAAUCAGCAUUUUCCCAUCCUACACACUCUUGCAAAUGUUUCCAUUAAAUAUAUUUCCAAUAUUAAUAAAAUAACAAACUCUUUAUUAUCCUUCUGCUUAUAACUUGAUGUCUUAACAUCAAAAUAAUCUUUUUUUCUAAUAAAAUUAUACAUAGUAUUUAACUAUAUGAAACA
Molecule: long non-coding RNA, 672 nt
Filed under: Apteryx rowi (Okarito brown kiwi)
Lineage: Eukaryota; Metazoa; Chordata; Aves; Apterygiformes; Apterygidae
Description: lncRNA (ENSARWG00000012962.1)
Source: RNAcentral